GAGUUUGAUCAUGGCUCAGAUUGAACGCUGGCGGCAGGCUUAACACAUGCAAGUCGAGCGGAGAUGAGGUGCUUGCACCUUAUCUUAGCGGCGGACGGGUGAGUAAUGCUUAGGAAUCUGCCUAUUAGUGGGGGACAAACAUUCCGAAAGGGAUGCUAAUACCGCAUACGUCCUACGGGAGAAAGCAGGGGAUCUUCGGACCUUGCGCUAAUAGAUGAGCCUAAGUCGGAUUAGCUAGUUGGUGGGGUAAAGGCCUACCAAGGCGACGAUCUGUAGCGGGUCUGAGAGGAUGAUCCGCCACACUGGGACUGAGACACGGCCCAGACUCCUACGGGAGGCAGCAGUGGGGAAUAUUGGACAAUGGGGGGAACCCUGAUCCAGCCAUGCCGCGUGUGUGAAGAAGGCCUUAUGGUUGUAAAGCACUUUAAGCGAGGAGGAGGCUACUGAGACUAAUACUCUUGGAUAGUGGACGUUACUCGCAGAAUAAGCACCGGCUAACU
This 500-nucleotide ribosomal RNA is filed under the name uncultured microorganism. RNAcentral describes it as "bacterial SSU rRNA". It matches the Rfam family "Bacterial small subunit ribosomal RNA", at positions 9 to 502 of the family's 1533-position model. The record is from RNAcentral.